AAAGUCAAAAAUAUUGGUUUUCUUUUUGAUAAAAUUUAAUGGUGGAAUGAUGAAAUAUUUUGGAUAAAAGGCUCUUAUAGAAAUUUAUAUUUUAGAUAGUAUUCAAAUGGCAUUAAUUUAGUCCUUUUGUCAUUUCAUCUGACAAAAGCACUUUUCUGUAAGCUUUUCAUUUGCUUCACUCUUCAACUACAAAGUAUUUGAUCAUAUGAGGGCAUGGGAGGAAAUGAGAGUGAGCCUAGGACCUUUGCUGAUGUGUUAGACAUCUUGUACAGGAUUAAUUCUAAAUGAGUUCCAUGAUGUGGAUUUGAACUUUCUCAGCUCUUGGAUAACAUUUAUCCUCAUCAGCACAUCUGCCCCUGCCCUAAGUCCUGGAGAUUCUGAUCUCCAGUCUGGUUCAGGCUGCGAGUGCCUAUCUUCUGUUGGCAGCGGGAAGGUGACUGGCCAGCAGAGUCCUCUGGGAGCUCCUCCUAGAGCAGCUGCCACUAACAGCUUUCCCUCUAUGCUCACUCUUUGAGGAACAGCCACAUUUCAAGGCUGCUUGUGUUGUUGGUGAUUACUGGCAGCCAGCACAGAGGAAAAGAGGGCCAGUGGCCAAAGCCAAACUGCAGUAUGGCAAUGGAAGGAGAAAAAAAAGUGACUUUACAGUGGAGAAACCUGACAAACACUACCUCAACCAGGUGAUCAAGGUCAGCAUCAGCAGUGAUCAGCCAUGUUGUUGGUAUAUACCUUUGAUACGACAUGCUGAAAGUGGCACUUUACCUCUGUGGUUUUCCUCCCCCACAACAUGUAACUCGAGUUUAAUCAUGAAAAAACAUCAGAGGAAUCACAAUUGAGGAAAAUUCUGCUAAUUUCUUGUUCCAUACUCCUCAAAACCAUCAAGGUCAUCAAAAGUAAAAGUCUGAGAAACUCACAAUGAAGAGGAUCCUAAAGAAAAGUGACUAACUGUCACAUCAUGUCCUUGAGAAUCUGAAUAAAGAAUGGACUCUAGUUACUGCUGAUGUAUCAAUAUUGGCUGAUUAUUGCAUUGGGGUAUGGGUGGGGACUUGAUAAUAUGGGUAAAUGUAGUAACCACAUUGUUUUUUCAUGUGAAACCUUCAUAAGAGUGUAUAUCAAUCAUACCUUAAUAAAAAAUUUAAAAAAUA
This is a long non-coding RNA of Manis pentadactyla (Chinese pangolin), 1142 nucleotides long. RefSeq lists it as uncharacterized. Lineage: Eukaryota; Metazoa; Chordata; Mammalia; Pholidota; Manidae. The transcript is spliced from 2 exons. The record is from RefSeq and is a predicted model, not a curated record.